RNAcentral lists this ribosomal RNA (403 nucleotides) under bacterium. RNAcentral describes it as "partial 16S ribosomal RNA". It matches the Rfam family "Bacterial small subunit ribosomal RNA", at positions 355 to 776 of the family's 1533-position model. The record is from RNAcentral.
UGGGGAAUAUUGCACAAUGGGGGAAACCCUGAUGCAGCGACGCCGCGUGAACGAAGAAGGUAUUCGUAGCGUAAAGUUCUGUCCUAUGGGAAGAUAAUGACAGUACUAUAGAAGAAAGCUCCGGCUAAAUACGUGCCAGCAGCCGCGGUAAUACGUAUGGAGCGAGCGUUGUCCGGAAUUAUUGGGCGUAAAGGGUACGCAGGCGGUUUAAUAAGUCGAAUGUUAAAGAUCGGGGCUCAACCCCGCAAAGCAUUGGAAACUGAUAAACUUGAGUAGUGGAGAGGAAAGUGGAAUUCCUAGUGUAGUGGUGAAAUACGUAGAUAUUAGGAGGAAUACCAGUAGCGAAGGCGACUUUCUGGACACAAACUGACGCUGAGGUACGAAAGCGUGGGGAGCAAACAGG